AUAUUAUUUAUAUAUUGCACUCAGUGUUUUAUCCUUCUGUGAUGGAAUAAACGUCUAUCGUUCGAUUAGACUGAACUGCAUUUUGAAGUCUGAACAAGUUGACAAUUGCAAAUAAUUUCUUCGAUGUUUCGCAACCUCUUAUAAUAGCUCCUCCGUGAUCAAUCAGACGGAAAUAGAUUUUAUUCAUUAUAUCAUUCUGCAAGUUUCUCUGGUUUGUAAAUCGAUAGCUAUUAGAAAAUAUUACUCGAUAGAAAUACAAUAUUUUUAGUUAUAUAGUUAAUUGAAAAAUUACAUACGAAAGGAUUUGGAACUAAUUACAAAAUUAGAUAAAAGAACUGUGAUCCUUUGUUUUAUCCUUUUAUCUUCUAUGGUUGCAUCUAUGUAUGAUAAAAUGUUAAAAAGCGGUAAAAAUUAACCUAUAACAGGGGUAUUGGUGUUCGUAAGUAUUCAGUAUUACAGGAUUAUUUACUUACUUCAAGAGUUCUUUAUCCUCGCGUUAUUUAAUUACAUACGAAACUAUGAGUCAGAUAAAGCAGGUUAUUCUAAUUCUAAACGAAGAGAAACACUACCAUGAUUAAUUCAGAUAGAGGUAUCUAAUUCUAGACACCAAUUAUCAUCGUAUUUAAUUAUAGUACAUUAUAUUUUACUGCUUGCUACUUCUAUAAAAUCAAUACAAAUCGACUAAAAUACCUAUUAAAUACUUAUUAAAAUUUGGCCAUAAAAUGACCGAUCUCUUAUAGAUUUGAUCAUAGGACAAUCUCGAACACUUUCGAACAACCUUCAAUUUACUUUAUAUGAUAUGUAUCUAGAAGGCCAUGUGGUAAUCAUUAGAAAUCCUUGCAUGGCAUGAUUGCAUACUUUAAGUGAAUUCGAUUGAUCUAUUUCAGUUCAAUUGAAGACUGUACUUGAACCGAAUUUGUACUUUUAAAAAGUGAAAGGUUCGAAAGUACGGGAAUUACUGGAAUAAUCCACCAUGGUUAAAUCAAUUCGAUAGUGACCUAAUGAUAAUGGGCCUAAUAUGAGCAAGCACACCGUAUUCGAUUACGCCUCAUUAUGGGCAUCUAUCGAUCUUCUUUAUUCCUGUCACGUCUGCUGCACAGAUGUACCCACUUUCGAUGGCUCUGAAUACCAAAUGAAUUCCGUUGUAUCGAAUCGUAAGAUCACCCACACGAUCUACGUUCUAUGUGCGUGCGCUUGUUUUACAAAAUCGGUCCGUUGUAAAUUUUUUGUCAAACAAUGAUCGAAUCACGAAACAACUUCAUUUUUACGAAGAUUUGUUGUCAUUCGUAAUACGGUAGAAUUGGGAUUUAUCAGAUUCAAUGCUAGUUUGUUACAAGCAAUCCGUUACAAAGUAUGACAUAGUAUUUAAUGGUAUUUUAAGAUACUUCGGUAGUUAAUUUAUUUUAGUUAAUCGGAUUUUGGAAAUUUCAGUUUCCUGGAAUUCUCUAAAUUUUAGACUCAUCGAAAGAUUCUAGGAAUCAUCUAGGUUCUGAGGAUAUCGAGGACUUCAGAAGAAUUUAAAGACGAUGCGGAAUCGAAGCUGCAGACGCUCCUCAAAGAUGGAGCAAGCACUUUCAUGGACUUUGAAUGGCUACAACCAGAAUUACCGUCGUUCUUCGACGAAAAAAAGUUUCUCCUCGGACAGCAGAUGUUUUAUAACAACGCUUUCACCAUGAUGAUUGCCAAACUAUGUGGAUUAUUAUCUUUAUUCGCUGUACCGUCGAUCAAGGACGUUUUAAUAUUCACCAGACGGAGUGGUACACCGUGUGCUGCCUUUCGCAGAUACGUAUCCACCAUUCUACAUAAUUGGGUUUGGUAUGGAAAAAGAGCUGGCAUAGAAAAAGAAUUUCUCGAAUCGCUGAAAAUCGUACGGAAAAAACACUGCGUAGCGUUUCGAAGAAGUUCAGAGGCGGGGCUGAACAGAGUCUCGCAACUGGAUAUGGCAUUGGCUCAAUUUGGAUUCAUGGGUUUCACCCUCCUGGCUGGUGACUAUCUUGGGGUGAAUAACAGUUCCGAGGAACUGGAAGGACUGAUUCACUUUUGGAGAGUCAUUGGCAACAUGCUGGGCAUGGAAGACAAAUACAAUCUUUGCACCGGAAGCGUGGAAGAGACACGGGCUCUUUGUAGAGGACUUCUGGACGAGGUUUUUCUCCCCUCACUCGCCAGUGGUAGCAAAGAUUUCGAAGAGAUGAGUCGUAUUUUAAUAGAAUCCCUAUGGCCGGUGAAUCCUUAUAUGGAUUCGAAUGCUUUCAUUGAAUUCACAUUCAUUCUAGCCUCCACUGCCGCAACGAAUAAUAAUCACUCGUUAAAAAUAGAUUCAUCAAGGAUGUCGUGGUACGGUAGAUUUAUCUUGAAUGUUCAACUAAUUACACACAAAUACCUAUUACCAACUACGUAUUGGUGGUCCCGAUUCUUCAGGGCGUUCUUCAACAGCCAAAUGCGAUUGGCCAUCUAUUUAACGGAAAAUUUACCGUUUCUGGCGUUCUGGAGUUAUGGUAUAAAACACUCUUACGUCAAUAUAUACAAAUACCGCGUCGUCUGACCUUAAAUGUGGUAAUUGUCUUAUAAAAUAAUCAAAGAGUAAUUUUCAUCGAAAGUGUACAUAAUCUGACGUAAAAUGAUUCUACAAACGUAUAAUGUAUUCUUAAUAACUUAUAAUCAUUGCAGUAUAUGUAUUUAGGAUAUGUUUCACAGUAUUUUUAGACUCGUAACAUGUUCGCAGGUUACUACUGCGGUUCUCGGAUUUUUAUGUUUUCGUUUUAUUCUUUUUUUUUUAACAAACAAUGAGAUUUUUAAUAUCUUAAGAGAAAUUGUAGUGGAUAAUGAAGAUAUUACUUCCCUGUAAUUUAAGAAAUUUGUUAGUAACAAGAAACAGAGUCGUGUCUAAUAUGAAUCAAAAAAUCUAACAGGGUUAAGGUCGAUUUAAGUCGAAGCUCAAUUUAGAAAAUAAGCGAUAUAUAAUAAUAAGAUUAAAUAGCGCUGUGUUUAAUGUAAUUGUUUCGGUACCUGCAAAGAAAAGAUUUAUUACAUUUAUUACAUGUAUACUUAAAACGUAGUUCUUAUCACCGUAUUUAUAAUUUUAUAACUUUAUAUUAACUACUUAAUGUAAAUAUAGAUACAGUAAGCGACAAGUUAAAAUUAAAGGAACGCUAUCUGUCUUUAUAUUAAUAAAUUGAUUGAAUGAAAGUGUGACGUGUGAAGUUGGUUUCAGACGAAAGACAAUGACCCAUCGAGCGUGCAUCAUACCCGCUUACACGAAAACCUUAAAAACUGUGUAAUAUUUCCACGCAACGUAUUGUAAUUUUAGUCAAGUCUGCCUUAUCUCUCGCAUCAUGGCGUCUGGUAAGUGUUCCUUCUUCAGGCGAGACUACAACAAUACUUUCGCACAGAUCGUAAAUCUGUCGUUUAACCAGUAUUUCAUUCGAGAUGUUUCUUCAUCGUUUAUUUUCUUUACAAACAGAUAUUCUUGGUAAAUAUGAAUAUCUAAUUAAAAGAUUAUCAGUAAUCGAAUCUCAGAUCGGUGUAUCUCGAGCGACUUGAGCAAGUGCACGAGUAAAACUUACGUCCAGAGACAAUUAACCUUGGAUGCUAUCCACGACACUAAAAUAAACACGAUGAUUGAACAGAUGUAUAACUCGUUGGAUAAAAUAUGCUUGCGAUUCUAUCGACAGUAGUAUGAGACGUUGCCUUUCUAUUUGCUAGAUUCUUUAACUCGUUAAGAAGGUACUCUGAUUUAGAAUGCCAUCUUUUACAUAUUUUUAAAGAUUUUUUUGUAUUAUUUCUUGCACGCAUAUUUAUUAACGCUUGAAAAAUAUUCAACGUCUUUUUCAAGUGAAAAUAAUCAUUAUUAAUUAUUAGUUAUUAGUUACUAGAUAUUAGUUAUCAAUUAUCUGUCAUUACAUGCAAGCAUUGGAAUAGUUGAUCAGAAUUGCAUAAAUGCAAAGGUAUUGAAGGACGUAAACAAAGUAAUUUAGAUAUCGUUUUGCCAGUAUAGAACAAACACAGUAGAAUAAUAGUGUAUGUUAAAUGAGAAGCAUGUCAAGUGUAAUCUAAGAAUUUUAAGCGUGUUUAUAAUAUAACGAUCUUUUUAGGUUCUUAAGCCCCUCAAAUGCUUUUAUACGAGUAAAUUGUAUGGAAUUUCGGUUCCAAUUUUUCCAUGGAACUGCGCCAAUAGAAAGUCGAAACUCGUCACGUGAUUUCAAAUCUCGACCCGAAUAAUUGCGCUCGAACCUCAGGGAAUUGUUUCUUUUUCUUUGGUAACUUCCUGUUGGUAUCAUCCUCGAUGAACGUGCAUAACGAUGAUAAUACGACGUCGCGUGUCGCCGGCAAUUUUACGUUUUAUGAUUUACAAAAUUGAAAGAUAAACAGUAGUUUGCAUAUUUCUUAACAAUUUUACGGACAACAUUUUCCUUAUUUUUAGAAUGACAGAAUAAUUGAGAUUCCUUUUAUUCGAGUGACUCUAUUAUUCAGAAAGAUGUAGCCUUCUUUCGACAGUUUCGAUAUUCUGUUAGGUUGAUGCAUAUGAAAUAUCGUUUCCUCCAAAUUUUCUACCGACGUAUUAAGGUAGAAGAAAUUUACUAUAAAUCGUAUACGUAGGUAUAUUGAAUGUUAAGGAUCUGCAAAAUUUCUAAUAAAAACAUAAGAAUUUAACGAUUAAUCAUCAACAGGUCGAUUCUACAAAUGUUUGACCUGUAGAAUCUUCGCUUCUAAUUCUUAUAAAUCUAAAAUAAUGAAAUCAAUUAUUAUUUAGAAAAAUGCAUUGAAUCACGUGAAAAGUUUUUGUUUUCGUUAGACGCGUGAUCUUUUAAAAAAAUUACGUUAGAAUUUUAUUUAAGAAAACAAAGAUUUCAUACGUAUCAACAUGGAGUUAUCCAACAAGUAUAGGAGGUUGUUUCAUUUUAAUAUAAACUGGUAAUUCUAGAAGACAUUUACAGAUAAACCGACGAAGAUUCACUGAAUGAAAAAUAUAGAAUAGCACGUUAAGAUUGUUGAAUGUCGAGCAACGAGUGCAGCCGGAAGAGCAACGUAGUAUUUAAGAAAAAUGCAAGAAUUCCAUGCAACUGUGGAUGGGAAGUGAGAUUCGGUUACGGUGUCGCGGUUACAUUGGCCAUCUUCGAGGCUAAACGUUUUUUCAUGUUGAUCCUGGAGAUAUUUGCCGAAUGGCAAAUCAUUCGAUUCGCAGGUGGUCUACGACCAGUCAUAUUUACGUUAAUAAACGUCAGCUUGGGUUUACCGACUGCUCUAAUCACUGUCCGCAGUAUACGAUCACGAAAAGUACCACGCUGCUGCGCGGAAACAAGACGAACGCUAAAAUGCUUGUUAAUAGUGAUCGCGAUAUGCGCCAUAAUGAACGCGGCUACUCUGGUCUCCAUAGGAUAUCACAUGAACGUCAGACAAGAAACGUUAAUCGACAUUUUCAACAAUUCGAUGCAAUUGUACGUGAGUGCAUCGUCUUACAAGUACGCGCUCGACGAGAUACAAUUCAUCUUUCAAUGCUGUGGCCAUUCCUCCUACACAGAUUGGUUUCUCUUUGACUGGCAGGUGAAUCCACCAUUCAAAAAUGGUAACUCAAAGCACGGUAUAACAAGUGUGAACAGAAUAGUUUAAGAAUAUUGAAUAACGUAAAUAGUAUGAGAAAAAUAUUCCACGAUCAGGGAGUAGACUAUGCUUCGCGAGAUGAAAUGGCUGUACAAAGUCCAGUAUCUGAUGAAAGAUACAGAGACCGAAGUGUCCCGUUUAGCUGCUGUAAUUUACGUGCAAUGACACCGUGCGAACACACGGAGAUCUCGGAGACUGACGUGAAAACCAUAAAUACGAAUGGCUGCGUCGAAGUCGUUACACCUGUCAUCCUUAGGAUCGUCAUCGUCGCUUACGUCAUGACCAGCACGCUUGUAAUCAUUCAGAUCUUCUUAGCCUUCUUAAUUACAAAGAUCAUACGGAAACUUUUAUGCGGAACGUGUCUCACGUACCAUUUUCCAAAAACCUUCGCCAAUGAGUCCACCAGCGCAUCAUUAGAUGCUACAAGUUCGGAAGCAGAUGGACGAGAUCCCAGCACAUCUUCCUCAAACUGGGAACAGCAACCGAAAUCUACAAAGAAACGCCAUAAACGUAUACGAAGCAGCAAACGCAUGCCAUCGAACAAAAAUACUUAUCCAAGAAAUAAAAGCAACUCCAAAGACGAUUCUACUUCCUCGUCGCCAUUCGACUCUUCGCGUGGGACCAAAUACUCCAGUCGUAUGUCUAGAAUCCUCGAUGCCGCUAGAAUCAGACCAAGUACUCACGAGGAGCACACGAUAUUCAAGAAACGAUUGCGCGACGAUGGAACGCGUUGAACAAACGAACUACCUAUCAUUCGCAGUGUUUAUUCCAUCCGUCGUACAAAUCAAAUCACGUCACUGCUGAUGUUUUACGAGCGUUUAGCUACAUAUAUUCGCGUCUAAAAAAAGCAUGAGCGGGUUAAACAUGGAAUAAACUCGCGUUCUCGAAGAAUCGGAAUAGGUAUAAAGAUCAUUUCCUGGAGGAACAGCUGGUAAAAGCACUGCAAAACGAGGAGGAUCUUGUCGAUGUCUGAAAACAGAAUCUUCUGUCGAAGAUAUUCGAAGAAAACUCGGGGAAAUUUAAUCGGAAGACGGGCUACAAUUUUGGAAAUUAUUGGAUGAAGAAAUAGGAAGAGAGCUGUUAAGAGGUAGCUAAUUAUUAUGUAUAUAUAAGAAAAUAAAAUUCACUCCAUGUUAUAAGAAAAAUGAUAAUAAACGCGUGGAAGAGGCGUUAAGACACUAAGAGGCUAACUAUGCGUCUUCGAUAACGAUGAAACACAAAUUCCGUGAAGAAUAUUCAAAGAAAAUUCAGCGAAAUUCGUUCGAGAGACGAGAUGGAAUUUUUUCGAUAUUGGAAACAGAAACACGAAGAAGAAUGAUGAUAAACACGUGGAAACGGCGUUAAGACACGGCUAACUACGCGUCUUCGAUAACAAUGAAAUACAAAUUAUAAUGAUUAGAAGUAAGCGACGACAGCGAAGAAGACACGCGUGGUGGGGAUCGACGAAUCUUGCGUUUAGUAACACAAGAUCGUCUACUGGAGUGCAGUACGAUUCAAAGCACCGUGGAAGGCGCAUUGGUAAAGUCGCUAAUCCUAAGUUCCAUAUAGAUAUAGUCGCACUACUUUGUGUCUUUAACGAAACGACUCGUAUCAGUGAAUUUGUUCCAAAUUGUGGCAUUCGGUGGGUGGGUUCGCACGUGGUUGAAUGAUCGGCAUACAUGCGUUAAGCACGACCCACGUAUUUUCCGUCCGUAUAGUGGUGCUAGUUGAUCGAACCUAAGCGGCGCGAUCACACACAAGAGAUCAACGAGAAAGAAAGAGAAGAGUUACAGGGGGAAGAAAAGGGCGG
RNA transcript from Bombus terrestris (buff-tailed bumblebee), 7387 nucleotides. It is a transcript of the gene named proline hydroxylase buaE, with no coding region annotated. The record is from RefSeq and is a predicted model, not a curated record. The transcript has 9 exons. Lineage: Eukaryota; Metazoa; Arthropoda; Insecta; Hymenoptera; Apidae.